RNAcentral lists this long non-coding RNA (510 nucleotides) under Rattus norvegicus (Norway rat). RNAcentral's name for it is "long non-coding RNA NONRATT028775". Lineage: Eukaryota; Metazoa; Chordata; Mammalia; Rodentia; Muridae. The record is from RNAcentral.
AUUAUUCCUGGGUUUGAGAGAUUAUACAGAGGCUACUUUAAGAGGCUUAAUGUUCUCCUUGAAGGGCUUUCAACUGGCCUGGCACUUGUCAUUCCAAGCCCUCCCCAUGUGGCGUUAAAGGAGCUACCCUGUGGUAAGAUGUCAGGCGAGGCCGCUGAGCUGACAUAUAGCCACAGAGCACUUGGGUUUAGCAUCCAAUGCGGGAAGGUAGAUGUCUUUGUAGGACAUUUUAGCCUAGUUCAGGGGGAGUGUACCAAAAGAAAAAAAGAGCCCAGGGUGACAGUUUAUUUGGUAAAAGUCCUUUUCUUGCAAGAAUAAGGUCCUGGAUUUUAUUCCCAGAGCCAACCUUCCAAAAGCCAGAUAUAGUGAGUGGUGAAUGCUUUUAAUUCCAACAGCAGGGAGGUUGAGACAGGGGGAUCCUUGGGACCUGUCUGCGAGUCGAGUCAAGCCUAGCUUACUUGGCUGAUUCUGGGCCAGUGAGAAACCCUGGCUAAAAUAAAAAAAAGAAAA